Molecule: transfer RNA, 72 nt
Filed under: Rhipicephalus sanguineus (brown dog tick)
Lineage: Eukaryota; Metazoa; Arthropoda; Arachnida; Ixodida; Ixodidae
Description: transfer RNA alanine (anticodon UGC)
Rfam family: tRNA
About the family: Transfer RNA (tRNA) molecules are approximately 80 nucleotides in length. Their secondary structure includes four short double-helical elements and three loops (D, anti-codon, and T loops). Further hydrogen bonds mediate the characteristic L-shaped molecular structure. tRNAs have two regions of fundamental functional importance: the anti-codon, which is responsible for specific mRNA codon recognition, and the 3' end, to which the tRNAs corresponding amino acid is attached (by aminoacyl-tRNA synthetases). tRNAs cope with the degeneracy of the genetic code in two manners: having more than one tRNA (with a specific anti-codon) for a particular amino acid; and 'wobble' base-pairing, i.e. permitting non-standard base-pairing at the 3rd anti-codon position.
Source: Rfam by way of RNAcentral
GGGGGUGUAGCUCAGUGGUAGAGCGCUCGCUUUGCAUGCGAGAAGUCCCGGGUUCGAACCUCGGCUCCUCCA